CGGCGGACGGGUGAGUAACGCGUAGGAAUCUACCCAGUAGUGGGGGACAACAGUCGGAAACGGCUGCUAAUACCGCAUACGCCCUACGGGGGAAAGCGGGGGAUCUUCGGACCUCGCGCUAUUGGAUGAGCCUGCGUUGGAUUAGCUAGUUGGUAGGGUAAAGGCCUACCAAGGCGACGAUCCAUAGCUGGUCUGAGAGGAUGAUCAGCCACACUGGAACUGAGACACGGUCCAGACUCC
Molecule: ribosomal RNA, 240 nt
Filed under: uncultured bacterium
Lineage: Bacteria
Description: partial 16S ribosomal RNA
Rfam family: Bacterial small subunit ribosomal RNA
Source: RNAcentral